RNAcentral lists this ribosomal RNA (341 nucleotides) under uncultured Glomeromycotina. Its description in RNAcentral is "eukaryotic LSU rRNA". Lineage: Eukaryota; Fungi; Glomeromycota. The record is from RNAcentral.
AUCAGCCUUUUGGGCAUGAUUCUGUGGAGCGUGAGGAGUUAAACGCCUUCAUGCCUGCAUAUUCGUGUACUUUGGGUGUACUUGCCUGUGUGGUUAGUUAACAUCAAUUCUGGUUAUCAUAAAAUGGCUGGAGGAAUGUAGCUUCGAUCUCGUAUUGAAGUGUUAUAGCCUUCGGCAGAUGUGAUGAUCGGGAUUGAGGAUUGCAACGGAUACCCUUCGGGGCUACCUGUCUGGUCUCUGAUCGUUGCUCUGGUGCCGAAAGCGUGCUUACGGUUAUCAAAGUCGAUGGUCAACAGGUUAGAACGGGUUAAAUUCGUUAAGGAUGUUGACGUAAUGGCUUU